Molecule: ribosomal RNA, 394 nt
Filed under: Babesia sp.
Lineage: Eukaryota; Apicomplexa; Aconoidasida; Piroplasmida; Babesiidae
Description: SSU rRNA
Rfam family: Eukaryotic small subunit ribosomal RNA
Source: RNAcentral
AAUACCCAAUCCUGACACAGGGAGGUAGUGACAAGAAAUAACAAUACAGAGCAAUCCGUUUUGUAAUUGGAAUGAUGGUGACGUAAAAGCUCACCAGAGUACCAAUUGGAGGGCAAGUCUGGUGCCAGCAGCCGCGGUAAUUCCAGCUCCAAUAGCGUAUAUUAAACUUGUUGCAGUUAAAAAGCUCGUAGUUGUAUUUCAGCCUCGCGAGUUGUCCAUGUUUUUGGUUCAGUUCGCUGGCUUUUGUUUUACUUUGAGAAAAUUAGAGUGUUUCAAGCAGACUUUUGUCUUGAAUACUUCAGCAUGGAAUAAUAGAGUAGGACCUUGGUUCUAUUUUGUUGGUUGAGAGACUCAGUACCUGCAAGGAGGAACGGUUGGGGGCAUUCGUAUUUAA